This 163-nucleotide ribosomal RNA is filed under the name Ipomoea nil (Japanese morning glory). RNAcentral's name for it is "5.8S ribosomal RNA". It matches the Rfam family "5.8S ribosomal RNA". Rfam says of the family: 5.8S ribosomal RNA (5.8S rRNA) is a component of the large subunit of the eukaryotic ribosome. It is transcribed by RNA polymerase I as part of the 45S precursor that also contains 18S and 28S rRNA. Lineage: Eukaryota; Viridiplantae; Streptophyta; Magnoliopsida; Solanales; Convolvulaceae. The record is from Rfam by way of RNAcentral.
UACGACUCUCGGAGGAUAUCUCGGCUCUGGCAUCGAGAAGAAGCGUAGGGAAAUGCGAUAACUAUGGUGUAGAAUUGCAGAAUCCGUGAACCAUCGAGUUUUGAACGCAGUGCGGGCCCGAACCGUUAGGACCGAGGCACGUGCUGGCUCCGCAUUUGCGUCG